UACGAAGGGGGCUAGCGUUGCUCGGAAUCACUGGGCGUAAAGCGCACGUAGGCGGCUUUUUAAGUCAGGGGUGAAAUCCUGGAGCUCAACUCCAGAACUGCCUUUGAUACUGAGAAGCUUGAGUCCGGGAGAGGUGAGUGGAACUGCGAGUGUAGAGGUGAAAUUCGUAGAUAUUCGCAAGAACACCAGUGGCGAAGGCGGCUCACUGGCCCGAUACUGACGCUGAGACGCGAAAGCGUGGGGAGCGAACAGG
Molecule: ribosomal RNA, 253 nt
Filed under: uncultured bacterium
Lineage: Bacteria
Description: partial 16S ribosomal RNA
Rfam family: Bacterial small subunit ribosomal RNA
Source: RNAcentral